AACGGCGUCGAGCGGCGGACGGGUGAGUAAUGCCUAGGAAAUUGCCCUGAUGUGGGGGAUAACCAUUGGAAACGAUGGCUAAUACCGCAUGAUGCCUACGGGCCAAAGAGGGGGACCUUCGGGCCUCUCGCGUCAGGAUAUGCCUAGGUGGGAUUAGCUAGUUGGUGAGGUAAGGGCUCACCAAGGCGACGAUCCCUAGCUGGUCUGAGAGGAUGAUCAGCCACACUGGAACUGAGACACGGUCCAGACUCCUACGGGAGGCAGCAGUGGGGAAUAUUGCACAAUGGGCGCAAGCCUGAUGCAGCCAUGCCGCGUGUGUGAAGAAGGCCUUCGGGUUGUAAAG
Molecule: ribosomal RNA, 343 nt
Filed under: Vibrio parahaemolyticus
Lineage: Bacteria; Pseudomonadati; Pseudomonadota; Gammaproteobacteria; Vibrionales; Vibrionaceae
Description: bacterial SSU rRNA
Rfam family: Bacterial small subunit ribosomal RNA
Source: RNAcentral